GGACGGUACAGCUCCGUGGUAGAGUGUGUGCUUAGCGUGCACAAGGUCCUGGGUUCAAUCCCCAGUCCCUCCA
Camelus ferus (Wild Bactrian camel) is the source of this 73-nucleotide non-coding RNA. The record is from Rfam. Lineage: Eukaryota; Metazoa; Chordata; Mammalia; Artiodactyla; Camelidae.